ACUCAAAUGAAUUGACGGGGGCCCGCACAAGCAGCGGAGCGUGUGGUUUAAUUCGAGGCUACACGAAGAACCUUACCUGGGUUUGACAUGCAGGUGGUAGGGACUGGAAACCGUCCCGACCUUCGGGAGCCUGCACAGGUGCUGCAUGGCUGUCGUCAGCUCGUGCCGUGAGGUGUUAGGUUAAGUCCUGUAACGAGCGCAACCCCCGGCAAUAGUUACAUGUGUCUAUUGCGACUGCCCGUGACAAGCGGGAGGAAGGUGGGGAUGACGUCAAGUCAGCAUGGCCUUUAUAUCCAGGGCUACACACACGCUACAAUGGCCGGUACAAUGGGCAGCCAAGCCGCAAGGCGGAGCUAAUCCAGCAAAGCCGGUCUCAGUUCGGAUUGUGGGCUGCAACCCGCCCACAUGAAGUUGGAGUUGCUAGUAACCGCGCGUCAGCCAUAGUGCGGUGAAUACGUUCCCGGGCCUUGCACACACCGCCCGU
This 484-nucleotide ribosomal RNA is filed under the name uncultured bacterium. Its description in RNAcentral is "partial 16S ribosomal RNA". It matches the Rfam family "Bacterial small subunit ribosomal RNA", at positions 899 to 1397 of the family's 1533-position model. The record is from RNAcentral.